GACGAACGCUGGCGGCGUGCUUAACACAUGCAAGUCGAACGAAGAGCGAUGGAAGCUUGCUUCUAUCAAUCUUAGUGGCGAACGGGUGAGUAACGCGUAAUCAACCUGCCCUUCAGAGGGGGACAACAGUUGGAAACGACUGCUAAUACCGCAUACGAUCUAAUCUCGGCAUCGAGGAUAGAUGAAAGGUGGCCUCUACAUGUAAGCUAUCACUGAAGGAGGGGAUUGCGUCUGAUUAGCUAGUUGGAGGGGUAACGGCCCACCAAGGCGAUGAUCAGUAGCCGGUCUGAGAGGAUGAACGGCCACAUUGGGACUGAGACACGGCCCAGACUCCUACGGGAGGCAGCAGUGGGGAAUCUUCCGCAAUGGACGAAAGUCUGACGGAGCAACGCCGCGUGAGUGAUGACGGCCUUCGGGUUGUAAAGCUCUGUUAAUCGGGACGAAAGGCCUUCUUGCGAAUAGUGAGAAGGAUUGACGGUACCGGAAUAG
RNAcentral lists this ribosomal RNA (489 nucleotides) under Veillonella parvula. Its description in RNAcentral is "bacterial SSU rRNA". It matches the Rfam family "Bacterial small subunit ribosomal RNA", at positions 28 to 486 of the family's 1533-position model. The record is from RNAcentral. Lineage: Bacteria; Bacillati; Bacillota; Negativicutes; Veillonellales; Veillonellaceae.